AGACUAAUAGUUCAUUUCUUGUCUUCCAUUUAUCGAAUAAUUGACCUCUGAAAAUCCCCAACAAGGCCUUGACUGGCAACACAGCAGCAAACAACAUCUCAGGGAAGGAAGAGCAGUUGGAUAGGGAGAUAAGAGUGCUGUCUUGAUGUCGCAGCAGCUAACAGCCAAGGGACAUUGCAAUAAAAUGUGCUCUUAGAUUGAAUCACACAAGCACACUAAACACAAGAUGCAUGGGUGCUUAGAGUAAUGUUAUGG
This 255-nucleotide long non-coding RNA is filed under the name Elaeis guineensis (African oil palm). Its description in RNAcentral is "long non-coding RNA (EGUI_LNC017532)". The record is from RNAcentral. Lineage: Eukaryota; Viridiplantae; Streptophyta; Magnoliopsida; Arecales; Arecaceae.